RNAcentral lists this ribosomal RNA (548 nucleotides) under uncultured Glomeromycotina. RNAcentral describes it as "SSU rRNA". It matches the Rfam family "Eukaryotic small subunit ribosomal RNA", at positions 548 to 1098 of the family's 1831-position model. Lineage: Eukaryota; Fungi; Glomeromycota. The record is from RNAcentral.
UUGGAGGGCAAGUCUGGUGCCAGCAGCCGCGGUAAUUCCAGCUCCAAUAGCGCAUAUUAAAGUUGUUGCAGUUAAAAAGCUCGUAGUUGAAUUUCGGGGUUAGUAGGUUGGUCAUGCCUCUGGUAUGCACUGGCCUCACUGAUUCCUCCUUCCUGAUGAGCCGUAAUGCCAUUAAUUUGGUGUUGCGGGGAAUUUGGACUGUUACUUUGAAAAAAUUAGAGUGUUUAAAGCAAGCUAACGCUUGAAUACAUUAGCAUGGAAUAAUGAAAUAGGACGUUCGAUCCUAUUUUGUUGGUUUCUAGGAUUGACGUAAUGAUUAAUAGGGAUAGUUGGGGCAUUAGUAUUCAAUUGUCAGAGGUGAAAUUCUUGGAUUUAUUGAAGACUAACUACUGCGAAAGCAUUUGCCAAGGAUGUUUUCAUUAAUCAAGAACGAAAGUUAGGGGAUCGAAGACGAUCAGAUACCGUCGUAGUCUUAACCAUAGACUAUGCCGACUAGGGAUCGGAUGAUGUUAAUUUUUUAAUGACUCAUUCGGCGCCUUACGGGAAAC